GAUGAACGCUGGCGGCGUGCCUCAAACAUGCAAGUCGAGCGAGGCUAUGAAUUACCGCAAGGUAAGGCAUAGCCUAGCGGCGAACGGGUGAGUAACACGUGGGUAACCUACCUGGAAGACAGGGAUAACGAUUCGAAAGGGUCGCUAAUACCUGAUAAUAUCCGUCUGCCGGAUGGCGGAGGGAAGAAAGGGGAAACCCGCUUUCAGAUGGGCCCGCGUCCCAUCAGCUAGUUGGUAAGGUAAAGGCUUACCAAGGCGACGACGGGUAGCCGGUCUGAGAGGGUGACCGGCCCGAGGGGCACUGAGAUACGGGUCCCACUCCUACGGGAGGCAGCAGGCUAGAAAUUUGGGCAAUGGGGAAACCCUGACCCAGUGACGCCGCGUGCAGGAAGGAGCCCUUCGGGGUGUAAACUGCUGUCGUGUAGGGAGAAGGGUACUAAGGUGAACAAUCUUAGUACUUGACGGUACUACAGGAGGAAGCCCAGGCUAACCUCGUG
RNAcentral lists this ribosomal RNA (497 nucleotides) under uncultured bacterium. Its description in RNAcentral is "bacterial SSU rRNA". It matches the Rfam family "Bacterial small subunit ribosomal RNA", at positions 28 to 507 of the family's 1533-position model. The record is from RNAcentral.